UCAUAAAGUACUAUUUGCUGUCUACUGCCA
This 30-nucleotide non-coding RNA is filed under the name Rattus norvegicus (Norway rat). Lineage: Eukaryota; Metazoa; Chordata; Mammalia; Rodentia; Muridae. The record is from RNAcentral.